UACGUAGGGGGCGAGAGUUGUUCGGAUUUACUGGGCGUAAAGAGCGCGUAGGCGGUUCGAUAAGUCAGAGGUGAAAUCCCUCGGCUCAACCGAGGACCCGCGUCCGAUACUGUCGAACUUGAGUGCAGGAGAGGAGAGCGGAAUUCCCAGUGUAGCGGUGAAAUGCGUAGAUAUUGGGAGGAACACCGGUGGCGAAGGCGGCUCUCUGGACUGUCACUGACGCUGAGGCUCGAAAGCUAGGGGAGCAAACGGG
Molecule: ribosomal RNA, 253 nt
Filed under: uncultured bacterium
Lineage: Bacteria
Description: partial 16S ribosomal RNA
Rfam family: Bacterial small subunit ribosomal RNA
Source: RNAcentral